UGAAUGAAUGGCUGUCAUCCAGAGAGAUAUAAAAUAUCAAGACCUCUGCUCAAAGACUACACUUGGACUGACAAUUUCAUCAUCCAGAAGACUACUGGUAAGUUCAACCAAUUUCCUACUGAUUUAGUCAAAUAUGGAUUCAGGUAUUGGUCUAUUAUUAUCUUUUUAUCUAUUCAUUCUAUUAGUGGGCAUAAAAUUAUUAGUAUUUUUCUUGGUGAAUACAAAUGCUUGAAUUUGGAAUUGUUAACAUUAUGGGACAGUGAAAUAAGAAAUACUAAAUACAUAUCAGUGGGUUCCAAUAAACUUGUCUUAAAAAUACAAUAAAAAUUCAGCAUUAAAAAGGAAUAUUAAAUCUCUUUCACAUGAAUAUUACUGUCAUUCUCAAAAAUUUCCUCUCACAAGACUAUUUUUCCAUCAAUAUGACCAAUAUUUCCAUGUUUAUGUUUUGUUUUCCUCACUGAUCCUUGUUUUCUAUAUGAGAAACAAUUUUGAUAUCUAUUUUCAUUACCUCCUAUCAAAUUAAGUCCAUAUCAUCCCAAUGUGAGAUAAUGAGAUAGGUUAAGAACAAGUUUGUCAAUUCUGUGUGCAG
RNAcentral lists this long non-coding RNA (589 nucleotides) under Felis catus (domestic cat). RNAcentral describes it as "lncRNA (ENSFCAG00000049727.1)". The record is from RNAcentral. Lineage: Eukaryota; Metazoa; Chordata; Mammalia; Carnivora; Felidae.